This 188-nucleotide non-coding RNA is filed under the name Lautropia mirabilis. RNAcentral describes it as "Glycine sequence". It matches the Rfam family "Glycine riboswitch aptamer". Rfam says of the family: This family represents the bacterial glycine riboswitch. Glycine riboswitches usually consist of two metabolite-binding aptamers domains with similar structures in tandem. Lineage: Bacteria; Pseudomonadati; Pseudomonadota; Betaproteobacteria; Burkholderiales; Burkholderiaceae. The record is from RNAcentral.
AGUGUCGCAGUGGGAGAGACCGCUGCCGACCGGAACGGGAAGGCAUGUUCACCCCGUCGCCUGUGUAAACGACAGGCUCUCUGGAGGUGCGCCUUGCAGGUCGCCCUGGUCCCUUCCCUUUCCGUCGGUACGGCGCCGAAGGGGCAGCUUCCCCGCAAACUCUCAGGCAAACGGACCGCCGCGACGCA